GGCUGCAAUAAUGAGGGUGAAGAUUAGCUUCUCCAGUCUAGUAUAUCUGAUCUCCGUAUCAUACAAGAUCUAACUGAUAUAGUAGAUCAGUCUAGGACUUUAUCCUGCUUAUGGACUAACACCGUGCUUAUGGCAACUGGUGAACCAUCAGGUAUAAAUAGAGUUCUUUGUCAGAGUUUAAUUUGCUGGGAAGUGGUGCAGAACUGAGAUAAUUUUUCAACUCCAUGAAGAUGCAUUAGUAUUUUUCGGUCUAUUAGAAGUUAUUUGAUUAUUUUAGAGUCUAAAAUAAUGGAAGACAGCAUUCGGCCUAUCUUGAGACAAGCCAAUUUAGUGGUGCCACUCUAUCUAUGGAUGCUGAACCUCCUUUAUAGUCUUUGGUAGGCUCAUCUCUUGUAUGGCUCGGAUC
RNAcentral lists this long non-coding RNA (406 nucleotides) under Elaeis guineensis (African oil palm). Its description in RNAcentral is "long non-coding RNA (EGUI_LNC027393)". Lineage: Eukaryota; Viridiplantae; Streptophyta; Magnoliopsida; Arecales; Arecaceae. The record is from RNAcentral.